GAUGAACGCUGGCGGCGUGCCUAAUACAUGCAAGUCGAACGAAACUUCUUUAUCACCGAGUGCUUGCACUUACCGAUAAAGAGUUGAGUGGCGAACGGGUGAGUAACAUGUGGGCAACCUGCCCAAAAGAGGGGGAUAACACUUGGCAACAGGUGCUAAUACCGCAUAACCAUAGUUACCGCAUGGUAACUAUGUAAAAGGUGGCUAUACUACCGCUUUUGGAUGGGCCCGCGGCGCAUUAGCUAGUUGGUAGGGUAAAGGCUUACCAAGGCAAUGAUGCGUAGCCGAAUUGAGAGGGUGAUCGGCCACACUGGAACUGAGACACGGCCCAGACUCCUACGGGAGGCAGCAGUAGGGAAUCUUCCGCAAUGGGCGAAAGCCUGAUGGAGCAACGCCGCGUGAGUGAAGAAGGUCUUCGGAUCGUAAAACCCUGUUGUUAGAGAAGAAAGUGCGUGAGAGUAACUGUUCACGUUUCGACGGUAUCUAACCAGAAAGCCACGGCUAACUACGUG
Molecule: ribosomal RNA, 512 nt
Filed under: uncultured bacterium
Lineage: Bacteria
Description: partial 16S ribosomal RNA
Rfam family: Bacterial small subunit ribosomal RNA
Source: RNAcentral